RNAcentral lists this ribosomal RNA (800 nucleotides) under uncultured bacterium. RNAcentral's name for it is "bacterial SSU rRNA". It matches the Rfam family "Bacterial small subunit ribosomal RNA", at positions 8 to 802 of the family's 1533-position model. The record is from RNAcentral.
AGAGUUUGAUCCUGGCUCAGAAUGAACGUUGGCGGCGUGGAUUAGGCAUGCAAGUCGAGCGAGAACCAGUCUUCGGACUGGGGACAGCGGCGAACGGGGUAGGAAUACCUCGGUGACGUACCCCCCGAUCGGGGAUAGCGGCGGGAAACUGCCGGUAAUACCCGAUGACCUUCCCAAGCUUUACGGCAGGGGAAGCAAAGGUGUGAUUCCGUCGGGGGAGCGGCCGAGGCCGUAUUAGCUGGUUGGUGAGGUAACGGCUCACCAAGGCGAUGAUGCGUAGGGGGUGUGAGAGCAUGGCCCCCACCACUGGCACUGAGACACUGGCCAGACACCUACGGGUGGCUGCAGUCGAGAAUCUUCGGCAAUGGGCGCAAGCCUGACCGAGCGACGCCGCGUGCGGGAUGAAGGUCUUCGGAUUGUAAACCGCUGUCGGAGGGGAUGAAGUGUAGGUGGGUUCUCCCAUCUAUUUGACAGAGCCUCGGAGGAAGCACGGGCUAAGUUCGUGCCAGCAGCCGCGGUAAUACGAACUGUGCGAACGUUAUUCGGAAUCACUGGGCUUAAAGGGUGCGUAGGCGGCGGCACAAGUCAGGUGUGAAAUCCCCCGGCUCAACCGGGGAACAGCGCUUGAAACUAGGUCGCUCGAGUGAGGCAGGGGUGUAUGGAACUUCCGGUGGAGCGGUGAAAUGUGUAGAGAUCGGAAGGAACGCCGGCGGCGAAAGCGGUACACUGGGCCUUGUCUGACGCUGAGGCACGAAAGCUAGGGGAGUGAACGGGAUUAGAUACCCCGGUAAUCCUAGCCG